RNAcentral lists this ribosomal RNA (682 nucleotides) under Shigella boydii. RNAcentral describes it as "bacterial SSU rRNA". It matches the Rfam family "Bacterial small subunit ribosomal RNA", at positions 78 to 752 of the family's 1533-position model. The record is from RNAcentral. Lineage: Bacteria; Pseudomonadati; Pseudomonadota; Gammaproteobacteria; Enterobacterales; Enterobacteriaceae.
GCUUGCUGCUUCGCUGACGAGUGGCGGACGGGUGAGUAAUGUCUGGGAAACUGCCUGAUGGAGGGGGAUAACUACUGGAAACGGUAGCUAAUACCGCAUAACGUCGCAAGACCAAAGAGGGGGACCUUCGGGCCUCUUGCCAUCGGAUGUGCCCAGAUGGGAUUAGCUUGUUGGUGGGGUAACGGCUCACCAAGGCGACGAUCCCUAGCUGGUCUGAGAGGAUGACCAGCCACACUGGAACUGAGACACGGUCCAGACUCCUACGGGAGGCAGCAGUGGGGAAUAUUGCACAAUGGGCGCAAGCCUGAUGCAGCCAUGCCGCGUGUAUGAAGAAGGCCUUCGGGUUGUAAAGUACUUUCAGCGGGGAGGAAGGGAGUAAAGUUAAUACCUUUACUCAUUGACGUUACCCGCAGAAGAAGCACCGGCUAACUCCGUGCCAGCAGCCGCGGUAAUACGGAGGGUGCAAGCGUUAAUCGGAAUUACUGGGCGUAAAGCGCACGCAGGCGGUUUGUUAAGUCAGAUGUGAAAUCCCCGGGCUCAACCUGGGAACUGCAUCUGAUACUGGCAAGCUUGAGUCUCGUAGAGGGGGGUAGAAUUCCAGGUGUAGCGGUGAAAUGCGUAGAGAUCUGGAGGAAUACCGGUGGGCGAAGGCGGCCCCCUGGACGAAGACUGACGCUCAGGU